RNA transcript from Macadamia integrifolia, 2194 nucleotides. RefSeq lists it as uncharacterized. The transcript has 7 exons. NCBI's taxonomy places the organism in Eukaryota, Viridiplantae, Streptophyta, Magnoliopsida, Proteales, Proteaceae. The record is from RefSeq and is a predicted model, not a curated record.
CGUACGGAGCAGAGAGAGAGAGAGAGAGAGAGAUAGAGGUGUUAGAGAGAAUAAUAAGAUGAAAGAUUAAUUUUUGAUAAAGAUAAACUCCAGAACCGAGAGUCUUAAGAGAUCGAGCGUCGAGUGGAGGAAGAAGAAGAGCGAAAUCAUCGACAAGGGUUGAGCAUCUGCAUCACACUAGUAAUCUAGUAAUGAUGAGAUUCAAGAAAGGAAGUAAAGUGGAGGUACUGAACAAGAAGGAGGUGCCUUCAGGUGCAUGGCGUUGUGCUGAAAUAAUCUCUGGGAAUGGGCACACUUACCAUGUUAUGUAUGAUUGGCCUCCAGGCACCAACAAUGAAGGAGCUUUUGAUAAAGUGUCCAGGAAAGUCAUUAGGCCUUGUCCACCCCCAGUAGAAGGUGCAAAUGAUUGGGUGCCUGGUGACCUUGUUGAGGUAUUUGACAACAAUUAUUGGAAAAUCGCAACAAUUUCAAAGGUUAUGGGUGGAAACCGCUUUUUUGUCAGACUCCUUGGAUCUCCAGUGGAAUUCAGAGUCCACAAAUCUGAUCUCAGGGUGCGGCAAUCUUGGAUAGAUAACAAGUGGGUUCUGGUUGGAAAGGGUUCUGCACAUUGUGAAGAUGGGAAAUCUAACAAAUUAUCAACUUCAAGGUUUUACGAGAAGCCAAACUUCCAGGCGCUGCUAAAAUGUAGAAAGACAAAUUUGUGUGCUGGAGAUGGUCCUUUGCCUGUUGAGUACAAUUGUUUCCAGGAGUCCCACAUGGUUUCCUCAAGAACGCGGAAGAGGGGCUCUCCUUAUUGCUCAUCCCAUGUUGAUGCACUUACUGGAGCUAACUGCAAAUUGAGAUUGGUUGAGAAUGAUGGUAGGCGUCAAAGACUGAUUACAGGGCAUCCAUCCCCAGUCCUUGGAAAGGGCCGAAGUUGGGGGCUUGUACAACUUGCUUCCAAAGGUCUAAGGAUGAUGGCCAGCUAUGAGCCUGCUGUCUGUGCUGAAUGAAGUCAAAACAGAAACUUCUAGAAGCUGCUAUUGAAUGUCCUGAUAUGUGGAUGCAUUAGAGGUGAUUCUUGAAGCAGACGCGAAUUUGUUGCUUUGCUAGGUCACCGGUCAGAAUAACCUUCAUGUGGUCUCUCUUUAUAUCAACUGGCUGCUGACUUCCGCUGUCUUAUUCAGUUUCAAUUCUAGUCACUCAGGAUCAGUAAGCUUAGUUGUCUAGAGAUACUAUGAUCCUAUUCUGCCAUCAGAACCUUGCUCUUAUCAUCUAUUAAUUCUCCUGAAAAUGUUGGUUCUCCAUUAAACAUUAAACCAUUGCAAGACUGAAGCUGCUGAUCUAAACCAGGCAAGAGCUGCUGCUGAUGAAUAUACUGCCUUGAGAAUAAUAUGUUGAUGUGCCUUCCAUGCCAACCAAUUGUCUUUACUUUUGAUUGCCAGGUCUUGGGAUCAAAUCCCACUUUUGAUUUGUUGUAUGUGCCUCAUCUGUUCCACUCUUCCCUCCCCUCAGUGCUGUAGCACUUGAUGAGCAGAUCAAUUUCGUUGUUCUCACACGAUGUAAACUAUGGAUGUGAAGUAGUUCAUUGCAAUCAGUUUCAGCAGGAUAAUUGGUGCAAUGGAAAAAUCUAGCCUCAAUAUAAAUUUUGUAGGUGUCAUCCGAGAAGUAUACACUCCACAAGACAUGCAGCAGCUGCUCGGCGUGUUGUUUCUUACUGGUCACCAUUAGUUAGCUUCAAAAGGAACUGAGCCAAGCCUGCUGGGCAUGGCUUAUAAUUAGUAGGGCACACUGCGUUUCUACUUUCUACCAUAUUUUGGCGUUUGCCAACUGUCCAAGCUCCUUUCGUCUGCUACCCCAUUCUUGAUUGGGUGGUCUCUUCAAUAUCUCACUGCAUGGCAAGUCUUUAUCAUCAGAUGGCCAUGUACUUUUGCAGACCCAGUACAUUUUGGACUUUCUACAAGCAGAGUAACCUGUUGAUGGAUUCCUUUACCCAGUCUAGGCAUACUGCAACCAGUAUCUCUCCCUCCAUUGAGGAUUGUACCUGGUGGUGAUGGAAUUUACUUCCUAUUUUUGUCUUGGGGCGCCAGCAAUCAUCCAAUUGAUGCUGCUUAUUAGGGUACUAUAUUCAAUCAUGCCAACUUGUGAAUGUACCAUGGAAGAACUUUUUCUUUAUUGUCCAUGUCAUAUUCUAGUAAAGUUCUUAUUUCCAAAA